Molecule: signal recognition particle RNA, 97 nt
Filed under: Corynebacterium bovis
Lineage: Bacteria; Bacillati; Actinomycetota; Actinomycetes; Mycobacteriales; Corynebacteriaceae
Also listed under: 1 other name
Description: signal recognition particle sRNA small type
Rfam family: Bacterial small signal recognition particle RNA
About the family: The signal recognition particle (SRP) is a universally conserved ribonucleoprotein involved in the co-translational targeting of proteins to membranes. Archaeal SRP consists of a 7S RNA and homologues of the eukaryotic SRP19 and SRP54 proteins. In most bacteria, the SRP consists of a 4.5S RNA and the Ffh protein (a homologue of the eukaryotic SRP54 protein).
Source: RNAcentral
GACCGGAUCCCGUGCGGCGUCCAUCUCGCGAACUCCCCCAGGGCAGGAAUGCAGCAAGGGUCAGUGAGCUCUGACGGGUGCGCGGGGUCCUUCGACU